RNAcentral lists this small RNA (511 nucleotides) under Arabidopsis thaliana (thale cress). Its description in RNAcentral is "ATSL053490". Lineage: Eukaryota; Viridiplantae; Streptophyta; Magnoliopsida; Brassicales; Brassicaceae. The record is from RNAcentral.
UAUACAGCUUACUUAUUAUCCAUGAUCAGGUACUGGAGACGCUAAUUAUCAGAACACCGACACUGACAAUAUUGAAUUUCAGAAAAGAGGACUUCCCCAUGCACACAUAUUGUUAUUCAUGCAUCCUACCAGUAAGUUGUCUACAGCCGAAGACACUGACAAAAUUAUAACUGCUGAAAUUCCUGAUAAGAAAAAGAAACCAGGGUUGUAUGCAGUGGUUAAAGACUGUAUGAUUCAUGGACCGUGUGGUGUUGGUCAUCCAAAUUCACCAUGUAUGGAGAAUGGAAAAUGCAAAAAGUAUUUCCCCAAAAGCUAUUCUGACACUACUAAGGUUGAUAAUGAUGGGUUUCCAGUUUAUAGAAGACGUGACACUGGUAUUUACGUCGAGAAGAACGGUUUUCAAUGCGAUAAUCGUUACGUCAUCCCAUAUAAUGAAAAGGUAUCUCUACGUUAUCAGGCUCAUAUUAAUGUGGAAUUGUGUAAUCAAUCAGGUUCAAUAAAGUAUCUUUUU